AAAACAGUGCUUUCAGAGGUUGUUUCUGUAGUACUGGGUUAAGAAAUGUGUUUAAAAAAUUGUUGUGUUUUUUUUUUACCAUACUUGUGAUGUCUGAUGUGUUUUUUGUGCAUUAAAUGGUUUGAAGCUGGUGAUUCUUUCAUCAGUUUUAGUUAUUGACGAAUGUUCUUUGUUUCUUAUAAUGAGAAAGAGUGCAUGAUCUGAGUGGU
This is a small nucleolar RNA of Pangasianodon hypophthalmus (striped catfish), 209 nucleotides long. RefSeq annotates it as small nucleolar RNA U3. The record is from RefSeq and is a predicted model, not a curated record. The transcript has a single exon. NCBI's taxonomy places the organism in Eukaryota, Metazoa, Chordata, Actinopteri, Siluriformes, Pangasiidae.